AGAAUCAACGCUGGCGGCGUGCCUAACACAUGCAAGUCGAACGAGAAAGGGGAGCAAUCCCUGAGUAAAGUGGCGCACGGGUGAGUAACACGUGACUAACCUACCCUGGAGUGGGGGAUAACUGAGGGAAACCUUAGCUAAUACCGCAUAACACCUACGGGUCAAAGGAGCAAUUCGCUUUGGGAGGGGGUCGCGGCCGAUUAGUUAGUUGGCGGGGUAAUGGCCCACCAAGACAGUGAUCGGUAUCCGGCCUGAGAGGGCGCACGGACACACUGGAACUGAAACACGGUCCAGACUCCUACGGGAGGCAGCAGUGGGGAAUUUUGCGCAAUGGGGGAAACCCUGACGCAGCAACGCCGCGUGGAGGAUGAAGUACUUCGGUACGUAAACUCCUUUCGAUCGGGACGAUAAUGACGGUACCGGAAGAAGAAGCCCGGCUAACUUCGCGCCAGCAGCCGC
Molecule: ribosomal RNA, 459 nt
Filed under: uncultured bacterium
Lineage: Bacteria
Description: SSU rRNA
Rfam family: Bacterial small subunit ribosomal RNA
Source: RNAcentral